GAGUUUGAUCAUGGCUCAGGAUGAACGCUAGCGGCAAGCCUAACACAUGCAAGUCGAACGGUAACUUUUGGUGCUUGCACCGAAAGACGAGUGGCGAACGGGUGCGUAACGCGUAUGCAAUCUGCCUUUUACUAGGGUAUAGCCCAGAGAAAUUUGGAUUAAUCCCCUAUAAUAUCAUUUAAUCGCAUGAUUUUAUGAUUAAAGCUUCGGCGGUAAAAGAUGAGCAUGCGUCCUAUUAGUUAGUAGGUGAGGUAACGGCUCACCUAGACUCCGAUAGGUAGGGGUCCUGAGAGGGAGAUCCCCCACACUGGUACUGAGACACGGACCAGACUCCUACGGGAGGCAGCAGUGAGGAAUAUUGGACAAUGGACGAAAGUCUGAUCCAGCUAUGCCGCGUGCAGGAUGACGGCCCUAUGGGUUGUAAACUGCUUUUAUACAGGAAGAAAAACUCCGACGUGUCGGAACUUGACGGUACUGUAAGAAUAAGGAUCGGCUAACUCCGUGCCAGCAGCCGCGGUAAUACGGAGGAUCCAAGCGUUAUCCGGAAUCAUUGGGUUUAAAGGGUCCGUAGGCGGUUUUUUAAGUCAGAGGUGAAAUCCUGCAGCUCAACUGUAGAAUUGCCUUUGAUACUGAAAGACUUGAGUUAUUGUGAAGUGGUUAGAAUGUGUGGUGUAGCGGUGAAAUGCAUAGAUAUCAUACAGAAUACCAAUUGCGAAGGCAGAUCACUAACAAUAUACUGACGCUCAGGGACGAAAGCGUGGGUAGCGAACAGGAUUAGAUACCCUGGUAGUCCACGCCGUAAACGAUGGAUACUAGCUGUAUGUCUACUUUCAGGU
Molecule: ribosomal RNA, 836 nt
Filed under: uncultured bacterium
Lineage: Bacteria
Description: bacterial SSU rRNA
Rfam family: Bacterial small subunit ribosomal RNA
Source: RNAcentral